Molecule: transfer RNA, 75 nt
Filed under: Actinoplanes derwentensis
Lineage: Bacteria; Bacillati; Actinomycetota; Actinomycetes; Micromonosporales; Micromonosporaceae
Description: tRNA-Leu
Rfam family: tRNA
About the family: Transfer RNA (tRNA) molecules are approximately 80 nucleotides in length. Their secondary structure includes four short double-helical elements and three loops (D, anti-codon, and T loops). Further hydrogen bonds mediate the characteristic L-shaped molecular structure. tRNAs have two regions of fundamental functional importance: the anti-codon, which is responsible for specific mRNA codon recognition, and the 3' end, to which the tRNAs corresponding amino acid is attached (by aminoacyl-tRNA synthetases). tRNAs cope with the degeneracy of the genetic code in two manners: having more than one tRNA (with a specific anti-codon) for a particular amino acid; and 'wobble' base-pairing, i.e. permitting non-standard base-pairing at the 3rd anti-codon position.
Source: RNAcentral
ACCCGGGUAGCCCAAUUGGCAGAGGCGCUGCGUUCAGGUCGCAGAGGUUGAGGGUUCGAAUCCCUCUCCGGGUAC